This is a non-coding RNA of Dermatophagoides farinae (American house dust mite), 839 nucleotides long. Lineage: Eukaryota; Metazoa; Arthropoda; Arachnida; Sarcoptiformes; Pyroglyphidae. The record is from RefSeq and is a predicted model, not a curated record.
CUCACACAGACAGAAAAAUUGAUAGCAGAGAAAACUAUGGAUCUCCCGAAAUUAAGUUUGGUCGUAGUGGCAUGUAUUCAAUCACUUUUUUUUUCUUUCUCACUCCAUCUGAGAAUAGCCAUCUCGUCUCGUUGGUUUAAAACCCAAAUCGGAGCGACGAGUUACCAGCAAAACUAAUGGUCAUAACAAGUUCACCUUUGCAUUUAUAAAUCACCGACCAAUGUUACUUGUGUCUUGAAUAAUAGAAAAAGUUGGUCAAAGAUUAUUUCUUGUCCAUGGAUAGUUUUUUGCCGUUGCAUUGUUAACACAUCUAAAUACGAUGCUUUGUUUGACCUCGGUAAUACUUCAUGGUGGUAAUAUUUUAAGGAUUUGUAAUGUAUCACAAAAUCUGGCGUUGCGAACAUUGAACUUGUUAUGUAGUCGUUUGAUGAAUGGAGAGGAUUAAAACAGAAAUGACCUAGCUAACCGACGUGAUCUAUUAAUCGACUUUGAGGAUGAUUUUUAUUUGAUGGUUUCUUGCUAUGUUGUUAGCCAAAAUUUACAGCUAUUAAUCAUAUGACCGGAUGUACUAUAAUCGAUUGAUCUAAUUGGUCAAAUUCGAUACUAAUGUUGAAUCGACAACAGAAGCAGAUGGACAACUAAAAACAUGAUUGAUGUUGCUCAUAACACAUCACUACAUUAUUUCUAAAUAAUUAUGGACCACAAAUGGCCUAUUUUGGACAAUCAUAAUAAAUCCAUAUAAUAAUAUCAACAGGAAAAAUAUUACGGGCUUUUUUUGGGCAUUUACUUGUCAUUGUCGAAAUAAAUGAAACCAUUCAUUAACAAAUCAAUGAUUAACG